CCUACGGGGGGCUGCAGUGAGGAAUAUUGGUCAAUGGGCGCAAGCCUGAACCAGCCAAGUCGCGUGAAGGAUGACUGCCCUAUGGGUUGUAAACUGCUUUUAUACAGGAAUAAUGAUCUCUACGUGUAGGGAAGAGGAAUGUACUGUAUGAAUAAGGAUCGGCUAACUCCGUGCCAGCAGCCGCGGUAAUACGGAGGAUCCGAGCGUUAUCCGGAUUUAUUGGGUUUAAAGGGUGCGUAGGUGGGCUGAUAAGUCAGCGGUGAAAGUUUGUCGCUCAACGAUAAAAUUGCCGUUGAAACUGUCAGUCUUGAGUAUGUUUGAGGUAGGCGGAAUGCGUGGUGUAGCGGUGAAAUGCUUAGAUAUCACGCAGAACUCCGAUUGCGAAGGCAGCUUACUAAACCAUAACUGACACUGAUGCACGAAAGCGUGGGGAUCAAACAGGAUUAGAUACCCUAGUAGUC
RNAcentral lists this ribosomal RNA (461 nucleotides) under uncultured Parabacteroides sp. Its description in RNAcentral is "bacterial SSU rRNA". It matches the Rfam family "Bacterial small subunit ribosomal RNA", at positions 338 to 795 of the family's 1533-position model. The record is from RNAcentral. Lineage: Bacteria; Pseudomonadati; Bacteroidota; Bacteroidia; Bacteroidales; Tannerellaceae.